This 378-nucleotide ribosomal RNA is filed under the name Triticum aestivum (bread wheat). Its description in RNAcentral is "partial small subunit ribosomal RNA". Lineage: Eukaryota; Viridiplantae; Streptophyta; Magnoliopsida; Poales; Poaceae. The record is from RNAcentral.
AUGAUGCCGUUUAGACUUUAUAUAGUCACAAGAUUACCUGGCUUCUCGCGCUUUCCUUGUUGUGGGUGGAGGCCGGGUCGUUGGAGGUGUAGAUGGAGAACCAGCCACGGUGCACCAUGGCAUCGGCGUCGCCAAGGAUGCCCUUGGGAUGCACCAUGGAGAACUCGAGGUCGUCGACCCACUCCAGCGCCUGGAUCGUGCCGCGCCACGCGACGACCACGUCCCGGCGCCCGAGCACCGCCUUCCCCGCAUCCGUGGUCACCGCGACGUACCCGAUCCAGUUGGACUCCUUGCACCGGUGCCGCGGAUGGCGGCUCCUCACGAACGCGGCGGCCGGAGCGGCGGGGGCGGAGGACGUGGCGUACAGGAACCUGGUGA